Molecule: small nuclear RNA, 117 nt
Filed under: Trichobilharzia regenti
Lineage: Eukaryota; Metazoa; Platyhelminthes; Trematoda; Strigeidida; Schistosomatidae
Description: U5 spliceosomal RNA
Rfam family: U5 spliceosomal RNA
About the family: U5 RNA is a component of both types of known spliceosome. The precise function of this molecule is unknown, though it is known that the 5' loop is required for splice site selection and p220 binding, and that both the 3' stem-loop and the Sm site are important for Sm protein binding and cap methylation.
Source: Rfam by way of RNAcentral
UUACUCUGGUGUUUCCUCAUUCGCGGAUAAAUCUUUCGCCUUUUACUAAAGAUUUCCAUGGGAGGCACAGUACAAUGAGUCUUGCCUCAUUUUUUCAGCUCUAACUACGGACGGAGU